Molecule: ribosomal RNA, 544 nt
Filed under: Nanhaipotamon wupingense
Lineage: Eukaryota; Metazoa; Arthropoda; Malacostraca; Decapoda; Potamidae
Description: partial 16S rRNA
Rfam family: Bacterial large subunit ribosomal RNA
Source: RNAcentral
GUUUAUUUGGAGCUAUAAAUAAUUUGGCCUGCCCCCUGAUUAGAAGUUAAAGGGCCGCAGUAUUAUAACUGUGCAAAGGUAGCAUAAUCAUUAGGUUUUUAAUUGGAAUCUUGUAUGAAUGGUUGGACAAAAGAGAAGCUGUCUUUAUAUUAAUUUUGAAUUUAACUUUUAAGUGAAAAGGCUUAAAUACGCUAAAGGGACGAUAAGACCCUAUAAAACUUUACAUUAUAAUUAUAUUUUAGUAAAUUUAUAAAUAAAGAUUUAAUUUAAUUACUUGUUAGGCUGGGGAGGUAUAAAUAAAUAUUAUUUUAACUGUUUAAUAAUUAUACAAUUAUUAGUGAGUAAGUGUAAAGAUCCUUUAUUAAAGAUUAAUAAAUUAAGUUACUUUAGGGAUAACAGCGUAAUUUCUUUUGAGAGUUCUUAUCGAAAAAGAAGAUUGCGACCUCGAUGUUGAAUUAAAAUAUUCUAUAUAAUGGAGAGGUUAUAUAAGAAGGUCUGUUCGACUUUUAAAAUUUUACAUGAUUUGAGUUCAAACCGGUGUGAG